RNAcentral lists this ribosomal RNA (503 nucleotides) under uncultured bacterium. RNAcentral describes it as "bacterial SSU rRNA". It matches the Rfam family "Bacterial small subunit ribosomal RNA", at positions 29 to 528 of the family's 1533-position model. The record is from RNAcentral.
AAUAAACGCUGGCGGCGUGCCUAACACAUGCAAGUCGAGCGAGAAAGCUCCUUCGGGAGUUAGUAAAGCGGCGAACGGGUGAGCAACACGUGAGAAUCUACCCUUUAGUGAAGAAUACCCUCGAGAAAUCGAGGCUAAUACUGCAUACGUCCCUUCGGGGAGAAAGAUGGCCUCUUUGCUAUCGCUAAAGGAUGAGCUUGCGUACUAUUAGCUAGUUGGCGGGGUAAAGGCCCACCAAGGCAAUGAUGGUUAACCGGCCUGAGAGGGUGUACGGUCACACUGGAACUUAGACACGGUCCAGACUCCUACGGGAGGCAGCAGUGAGGAAUCUUGCGCAAUGGGCGAAAGCCUGACGCAGCGACGCCGCGUGGAGGAUGACGGUUUUCGGAUUGUAAACUCCUGUUAAGCGGGAAGAAAGCCUUGUUUCUAAUACAAGCAAGGUAUGACGGUACCGCUAGAGAAAGCACCGGCUAACUUCGUGCCAGCAGCCCGGUAAUGCACGA